This 449-nucleotide ribosomal RNA is filed under the name uncultured bacterium. RNAcentral describes it as "partial 16S ribosomal RNA". It matches the Rfam family "Bacterial small subunit ribosomal RNA", at positions 354 to 796 of the family's 1533-position model. The record is from RNAcentral.
GUCGAGAAUCUUUCACAAUGGGGGCAACCCUGAUGGAGCGACGCCGCGUGGAGGAUAAGGUCUUCGGAUUGUAAACUCCUGUCAUGCGUGAACAAGGUUGCUUGGUUAAUACCUGGGCGAAUUGAUGGUAACGCAAGAGGAAGAGACGGCUAACUCUGUGCCAGCAGCCGCGGUAAUACAGAGGUCUCAAGCGUUGUUCGGAAUCACUGGGCGUAAAGGGUGCGUAGGUGGCUUGGUAAGUCAGAUGUGAAAGCCCGGGGCUCAACCUCGGAACUGCAUCCGAUACUGCCAUGCUAGAGUACUGGAGAGGUGACUAGAAUUCUCGGUGUAGCAGUGAAAUGCGUAGAUAUCGAGAGGAAUACCAAAGGCGUAGGCAGGUCACUGGACAGUUACUGACACUGAGGCACGAAGGCCAGGGGAGCGAACGGGAUUAGAAACCCUGGUAGUCC